Canis lupus familiaris (dog) is the source of this 1822-nucleotide long non-coding RNA. RefSeq lists it as uncharacterized. NCBI's taxonomy places the organism in Eukaryota, Metazoa, Chordata, Mammalia, Carnivora, Canidae. The transcript has 3 exons. The record is from RefSeq and is a predicted model, not a curated record.
AAGUGGAGCUCAGCUUUUCACACAUCAACUCCCAGGCUCUCAUGUGUGAGGGCAGAGGGAUUUCUGAGGCAUGGAGAAAGCCCUAGGUGCAGAGAUGGCCUACUGGUAAUUGGAAGUCAGCCCCUGGGGCAAGACACAAGGGAAGAGGCAGGAGUUCGCAGGGGCUGCUCAAAGCUAGCCUCUCUGAGGUCUUCUGGAGUGAAUUUCUUCUCUCUGGCCACUUCAGGAGUUGUCUAUGUCAAGCAGAGAGAAUACUGGACCACAGUCUGCAAUCUGAGUCAGGGUCCUUGCUUUGGGAUGUGGAGAUCCUUCGUCAGAGGGUCGUUUGGUGUCUCCCAGAGUAGAUCUCAUGGGCUCUCCCUCUCUUUCUCUCUGGGGCAUAGCUGUGGUUAUCAGAAGAGUCUGGAUAGCAGAGAAUGUUCCUCCAGUAUGUAACUCUUCAGAGGGGGAGUCACUGACAGUGUACAUCACAGCCCCAUGGAAGCAGGGUAGGACAGAGAAUCAUGCCUCUGUAGGGAACAAUGACGGAUUUUCCCAUUAGUGAAGCUGUUUGGUCACAACUCAAAAAACAACAAUAUACAGCAAAGUAUAUUUGUAGAACUCUGAAGAUCUACCAAACACUGUUGGGGACUUUGCAUCAUUGUCACAUUUGAUCCUCACAACCGUAUAAGGUAGGCACUGUUAGCUUUGGAGGUAAGCGAUCUCUCUAAAAUUUGAGUAAUUUUGCCUGACUCGAUUUAGCUAUGAAGCAGUGGAACUGGAAUUUGAAUUCCAGAACUCAUCCUUUGACUACUAUAGAGCAGUUCUCACUUGGGUGAGCAAGUGGGUCAGUGGAGAAUACAGACUCGGAUUCUCAAGCCCCUCCAACCAAGUUGAAGUAGGUCUGAAGGGAGGGGGGCGGUGGGCAGGAUUCAGUGUUGGUAACAGAUGCCCUAUCAUCACAAUCCAGUGACCUCCGGACCUGAAAAGUGUUGCACCAUAUUACAUUUGCUGGUCAUCUGACAUCUGUGGGCCCAGGAUGGAAAAGGAAAUGGGAUGGAGAUGUGUGCCACCAGAGAGAAGGACCUUCACCCUUUGGCUUCAUGUCCAAUGUUGGAAGACUGCGUCCUAUACAGGACAGAAGACUGACUCCAGAAGAACAGUUUGCUGUACUCCGAGGAAGAGGCAUCAUUCCCAUUUUUGAGAUGGAAUAAUGGAGACUUGGAGAGGUGAAAUGAGUCUUCCAAGAUCAUACAUCUAAUUUGUCCCCCGUACUCCAUAUGUCACCAGCGAAACAGCCUUGGCCUUCGGAAUGCAUUAGUGUUUGGGCAGUGGGAAAGAAACAAGACCAGAGGAGCCUUCUGGGACAAGUAGACAGGAAAUCAGGAAUUUUAACUCCGUGUCCCUUAAUUUUGUAUGACUUUGGGAAAGUCAUUUUUCCUCCCUAAGUGGCUAUGCCAUCUUUUGGAUAAGAGUAGGACCCCUGGAGUCGGAUGAUCCAUGUCUGCUUUCACAUGGGCAUAAUAAUAGCACCUAUCAUAGAAUUGGUACAAGGAUAAAAGAAUACAAUCUUCAUAAAGCUCUGAGCACAGUUCUCAGAUAGUACUUUCAAUAUUUUAAAACUUCAUUUAGGAUCAUCACCUACCCCAGGGCCACACAGAAGGGAUUAGAAGAAACAUCAAGUUCAUCAAGCUUCUUCACCUUGGGUUUGGGUGAGACAAUUCUGAACCUGGUGUGGUGCCUUUUCUUCCAAUUUCCUGGCUAUUGGUGAGGUCAUGAACAUGUUAGGGACCUGAUUUUACUACAGAUCCUUUUAGAGUUUUGAUGAAUUUUUGAAAAUUGG